Molecule: ribosomal RNA, 1279 nt
Filed under: Acidovorax sp. enrichment culture clone Van7
Lineage: Bacteria; Pseudomonadati; Pseudomonadota; Betaproteobacteria; Burkholderiales; Comamonadaceae
Description: bacterial SSU rRNA
Rfam family: Bacterial small subunit ribosomal RNA
Source: RNAcentral
GCGGCAGGCCUUACACACGCAAGUCGAACGGUAACAGGGCGGCGGACGCGGAGGAGCGGGGAACGGGGGAGAAAAACAUCGGAAAGCGCCCGAUCGAGGGGGAUAACGCACCGAAAGCUGUGGAAAUACCGCAUACGAUCUACGGAUGAAAGCGGGGGAUCUUCGGACCUCGCGCGGACGGGGCGGGCCGAUGGCAGAUUAUGUAGUGGGUGGGAUAAAAGCUUACCAAGCCGACAAUCUGUAGCUGGUCUGAGAGGACGACCAGCCACACUGGGACUGAGACACGGCCCACACUCCUACGGGAGGCAGCAGUGGGGAAUUUUGGACAAUGGGGGAAACCCUGAUCCAGCCAUGCCGCGUGCGGGAUGAAAGCCUUCGGGUUGUAAACUGCUUUUGUACGGAACGAAAAGGUCUUUUUUAAUAAACAAGGCUGAUGACGGUACCGUAAAAAUAAACACCGGCUAACUACGUGCCAGCAGCCGCGGUAAUACGUAUGGUGCGAGCGUUUAUCGGAAUUACUGGGCGUAAAAGCGUGCGCAGGCGGUUAUGCAAGACAGAUGUGAAAUCCCCGGGCUCAACCUGGGAACUGCAUUAUUGACUGCAUAUCUAGAGUGCGGCAAAAGGGGGAUGGAAUUUCCCGUGGUAGCAGUGAAAUGCGUAGAUAUGCGGAGGAACACCAUGGAAAGGAAUCCCCCUGGGCCUGCACUGACCUCAUGCACGAAAGCGUGGGGAGCAAACAGGAUUAGAUACCCCUGGUAGUCCACGCCCUUAAACGAUGUCACCUGGUUGUUGGGAAUUUAUUUUCUCAGUAACGAAGCUAACGCGUGAAGUUGACCGCCUGGGGAGUACGGCCGCAAGGUUAAAAUUCAAAAGAAAUUGACGGGGACCCGCCCCAAGCGGUGGAUGAUGUGGUUUAAUUAGAUGCAAGGGGAAAAAACUUUCCCCCCCUUUGACAUGUACGGAAGAUCGCAGAGACGGGAUUGUGCUCGAAAGAGAGCGGUAACACAGGUGGUGCAUGGCUGUCGUCGGCUCGUGUCGUGAGAUGUUGGGUUAAUUCCCGCAACGAGCGCAACCCUCCCCAUUAGUUGGUACAUUUAGUUGGGCACUCUAAGGGGACUGCCGGUGACAAAACCGGAGGAAGGUGGGGAUGACGUCAAAGUCCUCAUGGCCCUUAUAGGUGGGGCUACACACGUCAUACAAAUGGUUGGUACAAAAGGGUUGCCAACCCGCGAGGGGGAGCCAAUCCCAAAUGCCAGUCGUAGUCCGGAUCGCAGUCUGC